RNAcentral lists this ribosomal RNA (403 nucleotides) under Bacteroidota bacterium. RNAcentral's name for it is "Bacteroidetes bacterium partial 16S ribosomal RNA". It matches the Rfam family "Bacterial small subunit ribosomal RNA", at positions 355 to 776 of the family's 1533-position model. Lineage: Bacteria; Pseudomonadati; Bacteroidota. The record is from RNAcentral.
UGGGGAAUAUUGCACAAUGGGGGAAACCCUGAUGCAGCGACGCCGCGUGAACGAAGAAGGUAUUCGUAUCGUAAAGUUCUGUCCUAUGGGAAGAUAAUGACAGAACCAUAGAAGAAAGCUCCGGCUAAAUACGUGCCAGCAGCCGCGGUAAUACGUAUGGAGCGAGCGUCGUCCGGAAUUAUUGGGCGUAAAGGGUACGCAGGCGGUUUAAUAAGUCGAAUGUUAAAGAUCGGGGCUCAACCCCGUAAAGCAUUGGAAACUGAUAAACUUGAGUAGUGGAGAGGAAAGUGGAAUUCCUAGUGUAGUGGUGAAAUACGUAGAUAUUAGGAGGAAUACCAGUAGCGAAGGCGACUUUCUGGACACAAACUGACGCUGAGGUACGAAAGCGUGGGGAGCAAACAGG